AACAAAAAUGGAGUCAAUUAUCAGCAUCAAGUAUCAUCCUCACCCUAGUUGACAUUUACCGGCCAUUCUCUUACAGAAAGAAAUCCCAACUGUUUGAGAAUUAGAAUUCUUGUCGUUAAGGACACUGUCCUGGGGAUGACUAUGAAAGCAUGCCAUGUACAGUGCCAGGACCAAAGCCUGAAUAUCCAUGUCCUGUGCUGAUUACCUCUGGGCAAAGUGGUUCUUUUGCUUAUCAAAGUUAACCUUCUGGAAGAGCGCCAAAGAUAGAGGAUAUUUGCUGGAGAGUACUGAACCUGAUCAGUAUAUGGUGAGUGGAAA
Talpa occidentalis (Iberian mole) is the source of this 318-nucleotide long non-coding RNA. RefSeq lists it as uncharacterized. The transcript is spliced from 3 exons. The record is from RefSeq and is a predicted model, not a curated record. NCBI's taxonomy places the organism in Eukaryota, Metazoa, Chordata, Mammalia, Eulipotyphla, Talpidae.